RNAcentral lists this long non-coding RNA (611 nucleotides) under Nicotiana benthamiana. RNAcentral describes it as "long non-coding RNA (NBEN_LNC030976)". The record is from RNAcentral. Lineage: Eukaryota; Viridiplantae; Streptophyta; Magnoliopsida; Solanales; Solanaceae.
UCAAGUAAAAUCCGUCUCGGUCAAUGCUGUGCAAAAUCCAGCAAUACCAAAAGACUCGCCUCUGUCCGGCGACAAAACCACAGAAAUUUCUCCGGCCAAAUCAGCCCCACACGCCUCCAGAACCUUCGGCGCGUGAGCCCACGCGCCGGCGCGUGAUCCCCUUUCCGGCCAGAUUUUCCGGUCACUCCUUCAGGACAGUUUGGUCGGAUACUAAUUCCGACCCUACCCAUCCUAUUUUCGUUCGAUUCCGACAACUUUGAGUUUUUCCCGGCGACUAUACUGACUUUUCCGGUCAUAAUUUCAAAAACUUCCUUCAGGACAGUAUGAUCGCCCUCGAAUUCCGAGCCUAUCCAUAUUUUUAUUUUUCAAUUUCGACAACUUUGAAUUUUUCCGAUAGGUACAGUGCUUUUUCCGGCAGCUACAGUGUUCCAGUUUUUUUUCCGACAGCUCCAGUUUUCAGUUCCAGUUUUCUGUUUCAGUUGAUAAUUCAACGAUGUCUUUGGGACUCGAUGCUUUCGGGUCUAGAAAUCCGAGUUCUGGCAGUUCCAGUGUUAUGAUUACCUCAGAACCUUUAAUGGGAGGUUCAAAUUACCUAGCUUGGGCUUCGUCUG